RNAcentral lists this microRNA (21 nucleotides) under Bos taurus (domestic cattle). Its description in RNAcentral is "bta-miR-1434-3p". The record is from miRBase by way of RNAcentral. Lineage: Eukaryota; Metazoa; Chordata; Mammalia; Artiodactyla; Bovidae.
GAAGAAAUCUAAGGUCUGAGG